GGGACCUUCGGGCCUUGCGCUAUCAGAUGAGCCUAGGUCGGAUUAGCUAGUUGGUGAGGUAAUGGCUCACCAAGGCGACGAUCCGUAACUGGUCUGAGAGGAUGAUCAGUCACACUGGAACUGAGACACGGUCCAGACUCCUACGGGAGG
Molecule: ribosomal RNA, 150 nt
Filed under: uncultured bacterium
Lineage: Bacteria
Description: partial 16S ribosomal RNA
Rfam family: Bacterial small subunit ribosomal RNA
Source: RNAcentral